UGGGGAAUUUUGGACAAUGGGGGAAACCCUGAUCCAGCCAUCCCGCGUGUGCGAUGAAGGCCUUCGGGUUGUAAAGCACUUUUGGCAGGAAAGAAACGUCGCGGGUUAAUACCCCGCGAAACUGACGGUACCUGCAGAAUAAGCACCGGCUAACUACGUGCCAGCAGCCGCGGUAAUACGUAGGGUGCAAGCGUUAAUCGGAAUUACUGGGCGUAAAGCGUGCGCAGGCGGUUCGGAAAGAAAGAUGUGAAAUCCCAGAGCUUAACUUUGGAACUGCAUUUUUAACUACCGGGCUAGAGUGUGUCAGAGGGAGGUGGAAUUCCGCGUGUAGCAGUGAAAUGCGUAGAUAUGCGGAGGAACACCGAUGGCGAAGGCAGCCUCCUGGGAUAACACUGACGCUCAUGCACGAAGGCGUGGGGAGCAAACAGGAUUAGAUACCCUGGUAGUCCACGCCCUAAACGAUGUCAACUAGCUGUUGGGGCCUUCGGGCCUUGGUAGGCGCAGCUAACGCGUGAAGUUGACCGCCUGGGGAGUA
RNAcentral lists this ribosomal RNA (535 nucleotides) under uncultured bacterium. Its description in RNAcentral is "partial 16S ribosomal RNA". It matches the Rfam family "Bacterial small subunit ribosomal RNA", at positions 355 to 882 of the family's 1533-position model. The record is from RNAcentral.